This 926-nucleotide ribosomal RNA is filed under the name Alkalibacillus salilacus. RNAcentral's name for it is "bacterial SSU rRNA". It matches the Rfam family "Bacterial small subunit ribosomal RNA", at positions 500 to 1423 of the family's 1533-position model. The record is from RNAcentral. Lineage: Bacteria; Bacillati; Bacillota; Bacilli; Caryophanales; Bacillaceae.
ACUAACGUGCCAGCAGCCUGCGGUAAUACGUAGGGGGGCAAGCGUUGUCCCGGAAUUAUUGGGCGUAAAGCGCGCGCAGGCGGUUCCUUUAAGUCUGAUGUGAAAGGCCACAGCUCAACUGUGGAGGGCCAUUGGAAACUGGGGAACCUGAGGACAGAAGAGGAGAGCGGAAUUCCACGUGUAGCGGUGAAAUGCGUAGAUAUGUGGAGGAACACCAGUGGCGAAGGCGGCUCUCUGGUCUGUAACUGACGCUGAGGCGCGAAAGCAUGGGUAGCGAACAGGAUUAGAUACCCUGGUAGUCCAUGCCGUAAACGUUGAGUGCUAGGUGUUAGGGGGUCCAACCCUUAGUGCUGCAGUUAACGCAAUAAGCACUCCGCCUGGGGAGUACGGCCGCAAGGCUGAAACUCAAAGGAAUUGACGGGGGCCUGCACAAGCGGUGGAGCAUGUGGUUUAAUUCGACGCAACGCGAAGAACCUUACCAGGUCUUGACAUCUUCGGACAGCCCAAGAGAUUGGGUCUUCCCUUCGGGGACCGAAUGACAGGUGGUGCAUGGUUGUCGUCAGCUCGUGUCGUGAGAUGUUGGGUUAAGUCCCGUAACGAGCGCAACCCCUGAUCUUAGUUGCCAGCAUUGAGUUGGGCACUCUAGGAUGACUGCCGGUGACAAACCGGAGGAAGGCGGGGAUGACGUCAAAUCAUCAUGCCCCUUAUGACCUGGGCUACACACGUGCUACAAUGGAUGGUACAAAGGGAAGCCAAACCGCGAGGUCGAGCUAAUCCCAUAAAGCCAUUCUCAGUUCGGAUUGUAGGCUGCAACUCGCCUGCAUGAAGCCGGAAUCGCUAGUAAUCGCGGAUCAGAAUGCCGCGGUGAAUACGUUCCCAGGCCUUGUACACACCGCCCGUCACACCACGAGAGUUGGCGAUCUACC